This is a long non-coding RNA of Dermacentor silvarum, 556 nucleotides long. RefSeq lists it as uncharacterized. The record is from RefSeq and is a predicted model, not a curated record. The transcript is spliced from 3 exons. NCBI's taxonomy places the organism in Eukaryota, Metazoa, Arthropoda, Arachnida, Ixodida, Ixodidae.
GGAUUUGAUCUCGAAAAUCAAGGCUAGAGACGCAUCAGGUGCCUGGGAGGAGCUAUAACACGCGCUGACUAUAUUUGUACUAAGCAGCAGACAACUCACAAUACAGCAGUGGAGAGAACAAAGGUGAAUAUUGCAUUUCAUUUUUUUAUCCAUUGUCUAACAUACCUAGAAGCACGCAAGCUGCGACUUACGUACUUUUCUGCCUAUGCACUAUGGCAAAGAUUCUGAGAUUAAGCAUGCUGGUCGUUUUUACUGCAUUUUGCCUUCUUUUCAAGUUACAGGGAAAUAUCCCCACUAGUGUUCUCGCAGGAAACCCAGCGAUUAGUCCCAAAAAUCCUACACGCAGAGAUACCGUCCCUUUUAGGCCACCACAAAGGGCCUGGCAAAGUACACGUCGAACAACUACGAGACGCAAAGCAUCCAAUUGCAAGUGGGGAUAAUUUCACCGAGGACGGCCACUUCGCUGCAUGAAGGGAAAGAGAAAAUGAAACGAUUCUGCAAAUUUUCUCUCCGCAGCACUAAUAAAACGGUUCGGUGUGAAUGCCGAAAAAUCUUG